AGUGAACGCUGGCGGUAGGCCUAACACAUGCAAGUCGAACGGCAGCACAGUAAGAGCUUGCUCUUACGGGUGGCGAGUGGCGGACGGGUGAGGAAUACACCGGAAUCUACUUUUUCGUGGGGGAUAACGUAGGGAAACUUACGCUAAUACCGCAUACGACCUACGGGUGAAAGCAGGGGAUCUUCGGACCUUGCGCGAUUGAAUGAGCCGAUGUCGGAUUAGCUAGUUGGCGGGGUAAAGGCACACCAAGGCGACGAUCCGUAGCUGGUCUGAGAGGAUGAUCAGCCACACGGGAACUGAGACACGGUCCAGACUCCUACGGGAGGAAGCAGUGGGGAAUAGGGGAGAAUGGGCGCAAGCCUGAUACAGCCAUACCGCGUGGGUGAAGAAGGACUUCGGGUUGUAAAGCCCUUUUGUUGGGAAAGAAAAGCAGCAGGUUAAUACCCCGCUGUUCUGACGGUACCCAAAGAAUAAGCACCGGCUAACUUCGUG
Molecule: ribosomal RNA, 492 nt
Filed under: uncultured bacterium
Lineage: Bacteria
Description: partial 16S ribosomal RNA
Rfam family: Bacterial small subunit ribosomal RNA
Source: RNAcentral